Long non-coding RNA from Vitis vinifera (wine grape), 544 nucleotides. RefSeq lists it as uncharacterized. NCBI's taxonomy places the organism in Eukaryota, Viridiplantae, Streptophyta, Magnoliopsida, Vitales, Vitaceae. The record is from RefSeq and is a predicted model, not a curated record. The transcript has 4 exons.
AAUUCAUAUAAAUUAGGUAAUGCAAUUUUUAAUACCAUUUCUUAAUGUUUAAUUAAGUACAAGAUAUCCUACAACUAACUAUAAAAUUGGUGUAUUCUACAAUGAUUUAUUUUUAUGCAUAAAGUGCCCAAUACAACCAGGUAGUGUUGAAUGUGGAUACUAUGUGAUGAGAUAUAUGAGAGAUAUUAUUGCUGAUCAAGGAUGUCUUACAUCAAAGUUUCACGGAAAAAAAUCGUAUAGCAAAGAUGAGUUGAACGAAGUACGAUCAGAAUGGGUAAUGCUGGUCACUCAGUUGAUACUCUCUUCUGUUUGAAGGCUUUGAAGACACUUUUUUGUAUGGAAAUAGAUCAUACUUUUGCCCAAUCCAACUAUCACUUUUGUUGAGGCAUCCAAAGGGAAACUUUUUGAAGCUGAAAGUUGGAAGUUUUUCCAAGUUUCUAAUAGUUCAUGAGCUACUGCCACAAAAAAGAAUGUUCUUGUUGGUUCAAAAGGGAACAUGAAGAUUUCUAAUUUUGGCCAUGGUGUUAUACCACAACAUUGUAAG